UACGUAGGGUGCAAGCGUUGUCCGGAAUUAUUGGGCGUAAAGAGCGUGUAGGCGGCCCGAUAAGUCCGCUGUGAAAGUCCAGGGCUCAACCCUGGGAUGCCGGUGGAUACUGUCGGGCUCGAGUCCGGAAGAGGCGAGUGGAAUUCCUGGUGUAGCGGUGAAAUGCGCAGAUAUCAGGAGGAACACCAAUGGCGAAAGCAGCUCGCUGGGACGUGACUGACGCUGAGACGCGAAAGCGUGGGGAGCAAACAGG
RNAcentral lists this ribosomal RNA (253 nucleotides) under uncultured bacterium. Its description in RNAcentral is "partial 16S ribosomal RNA". It matches the Rfam family "Bacterial small subunit ribosomal RNA", at positions 524 to 776 of the family's 1533-position model. The record is from RNAcentral.